CCUACGGGUGGCUGCAGUGGGGAAUAUUGGACAAUGGGGGCAACCCUGAUCCAGCCAUGCCGCGUGUGUGAAGAAGGCCUUCGGGUUGUAAAGCACUUUUGUCCGGAAAGAAAUCUUCCAACUUAAUACGUUGGGAGGAUGACGGUACCGGAAGAAUAAGCACCGGCUAACUUCGUGCCAGCAGCCGCGGUAAUACGAAGGGUGCAAGCGUUACUCGGAAUUACUGGGCGUAAAGCGUGCGUAGGCGGUUCGUUAAGUCUGACGUGAAAUCCCCG
This 275-nucleotide ribosomal RNA is filed under the name uncultured Silanimonas sp. Its description in RNAcentral is "partial 16S ribosomal RNA". It matches the Rfam family "Bacterial small subunit ribosomal RNA", at positions 338 to 605 of the family's 1533-position model. Lineage: Bacteria; Pseudomonadati; Pseudomonadota; Gammaproteobacteria; Lysobacterales; Lysobacteraceae. The record is from RNAcentral.